This is a long non-coding RNA of Aegilops tauschii subsp. strangulata, 356 nucleotides long. RefSeq lists it as uncharacterized. The record is from RefSeq and is a predicted model, not a curated record. Lineage: Eukaryota; Viridiplantae; Streptophyta; Magnoliopsida; Poales; Poaceae.
CUUACCGAGAGCAACACAAGAGCUCUAUGCUUGGUAGCUCUUGUGAUGAUGUCUACUCUAUUCUCAUGUCAUGCAGAUCCAAAACCAACCCCCCUUCCCUACGUGUGUAUCAAAUUUAAAAGUUGUGAAGGAGACACUUUAUCCGACCAGCCAUGUGUUGAUCAUUGCGCAUUUUUUGAAUUCAAAAAAGGCCACUGCACACCGGACCAUGGUGGCCUUUGUUGCUGCUAUAAUUGAACGUCUAACGAAUGAUGGAUACAAUGUUUUAUAAUGUGCUAAAAAGCUGUUGGGUGUACGGCAGGUUCAAUGUCCAUGUGCUCAAAACAUAAUAAAGUAUUGAUCAACUUGAUUGUGAA